UUUGAUCGAACCCACGAUCUCCUGUAUACCAGGCGAGGUAGUUAACAUCUCCUCGCCACCGUAGCACCCCUAAUGCGACUGUCAUCAGUGUAACGUUCUUACCCCGUGGCCCUACUGGAUCAUCUGUGAAAAAGAGCUUCAUAGCCCAUCGAAUUCCUCCAUUAUAAGUAAAUACAUAAAUUCUGAUUCUGAGAUUCUGAUUUAUCCGCAGGAACGGUGUUCACUGACAGCGCGGGGGUUGGGGAUGGCUCGGAGUCCGGAGUGCAGCGCCAAGGAAGAACACCACGUGAAUUUAUGGUCGUCACCCCAGAAAAAAUGAACGCCAUAGCAGGCAGUACGAUUUUCCUGCCCUGCUCCUACACCUGUACAAUCAGCGGCGUUAACCACACACUGGCGGAGUGGUUCAGGAUCAUUGAUGGACGUGAAGAAAGGCUUUAUCAAUACCCCAAUGGAGAUAUACAAUGGCCUUUACAGGCCACCUGGGUGGGUGAUGUGUCAAAGUGCGAUGCCUCCAUCACCGUCAGUGACAUCCAGACCCACGACUCUGGGCGAUAUCGCUGUGAGGUCACGGUGUAUCCACAAUACAUGGAAGACAUUGGGUAUCUACAGCUGAAUGUUAACAGUCCAUCAGGUUUGUGUUAUUUCCUUUAAACGUCGUCUACAUUACCACCCCCAACUCUAUCAUCUAUCCUAUAGACCUGAUAUAGAACUCAACAUGUACACUUUAGAGCCAUGGGCCCAGUGCCACGGUGAACUGGGUUCAACCCCUGGCUACGAUCUCAUCACCAUCAAUGUACAUCAGAACCUUUGACUGCUCCUCACCGACAUUU
Long non-coding RNA from Petromyzon marinus (sea lamprey), 830 nucleotides. RefSeq lists it as uncharacterized. The record is from RefSeq and is a predicted model, not a curated record. Lineage: Eukaryota; Metazoa; Chordata; Hyperoartia; Petromyzontiformes; Petromyzontidae.